Long non-coding RNA from Podarcis raffonei (Aeolian wall lizard), 494 nucleotides. RefSeq lists it as uncharacterized. NCBI's taxonomy places the organism in Eukaryota, Metazoa, Chordata, Lepidosauria, Squamata, Lacertidae. The record is from RefSeq and is a predicted model, not a curated record. The transcript is spliced from 2 exons.
UGGAAAGCAAGACUCCAGAAGAUCCAUGGUCAGGAAUGGAGACUCCUGGACGAUCUAAAGUGAGAGGAGAGAUCACUUCAGAAACCUGUUUAUGCAUUAAGAAGCCUGGAAGCAUCAUGCCAGAAUCUUGCAGCAGGAGUGGAAAAACACCAGCGAACAAGAGUUUUGAAUACUGUAUUUGGGUCUAAAACAGCUGUAUGUCAAUUUCCUUUAUUUACUUUUUAAAAAAUAAAAAGUGAAAUUGUAAAGGUUUGAUUCGUUAAGCAUAUGUAUGCAACGUACUUAAUUUCAAUUAAGAUUUGAUUAUUCGUAUUUAGUGUUGCAAUCCUUUCACCACAGCACAAGCAAGCUGUGUUUUAUUCAAUCAAUUGAUCAUUUAUUGUAUUUGACUAAAAGCCAUUACAAAUACAUUUACAAAACCAGCAAAUCCAAUAAAACCUAAUUAAGAAAGAUCCAGAAGUAAGCAACCAUUUACAAUAAAUUAAAUUAAUGAA